RNAcentral lists this ribosomal RNA (247 nucleotides) under uncultured fungus. RNAcentral describes it as "partial 26S ribosomal RNA". It matches the Rfam family "Eukaryotic large subunit ribosomal RNA", at positions 38 to 282 of the family's 3401-position model. Lineage: Eukaryota; Fungi. The record is from RNAcentral.
GCAUAUCAAUAAGCGGAGGAAAAGAAACCAACAGGGAUUGCCUUAGUAGCGGCGAGUGAAGCGGCAAUAGCUCAAAUUUGAAAUCUGGCGCCUUCGGUGUCCGAGUUGUAAUUUGAAGAAGGUAUCUUUGGUUUUGGCUCUUGUCUAUGUUCCUUGGAACAGGACGUCACAGAGGGUGAGAAUCCCGUGCGAUGAGAUGCCCAAUUCCAUGUAAAGUUCCUUCGACGAGUCGAGUUGUUUGGGAAUA